CCUACGGGUGACAGCAGUGAGGAAUAUUGGUCAAUGGACGCAAGUCUGAACCAGCCAUGCCGCGUGCAGGAAGACUGCUCUAUGAGUUGUAAACUUCUUUUGUACGAGGGUAAACGCAGAUACGCGUAUCUUUCUGCAAGUAUCUUACGAAUAAGGAUCGGCUAACUCCGUGCCAGCAGCCGCGGUAAUACGGAGGAUUCAAGCGUUAUCCGGAUUUAUUGGGUUUAAAGGGUGCGUAGGCGGGUGGAUAAGUUAGUGGUGAAAGCCUGAGGCUCAACUUCGGAAUUGCCUUUGAUACUGUUAGGCUAGAGAGUAGUUGCGGUAGGCGGAAUGUAUGGUGUAGCGGUGAAAUGCUUAGAGAUCAUACAGAACACCGAUUGCGAAGGCAGCUUACCAAGCUAUUUCUGACGUUGAGGCACGAAAGCGUGGGGAGCAAACAGGAUUAGAUACCCCAGUAGUC
This 460-nucleotide ribosomal RNA is filed under the name uncultured bacterium. RNAcentral's name for it is "partial 16S ribosomal RNA". It matches the Rfam family "Bacterial small subunit ribosomal RNA", at positions 338 to 795 of the family's 1533-position model. The record is from RNAcentral.